ACAAUGUGUGACUCUUUAUGGGUUAUGCAAUUGGAAUGACUACAAUUUAAAGAGUUUAAGAAGGAUCAAUUGGAGGGCAAGUCUGGUGCCAGCAGCCGCGGUAAUUCCAGCUCCAAUAGGACAUAUCAAAGUUGUUGCAGUUAAAAAGCUCGUAGUUGAAUUUCUGGAAGGUAGAAGUGUUUUUUUUAGAGAAGCAAUUUUUUAUUAAAAGCACCGCUUUCCAUUUUGUGGAUUUCUGUUUUGUAUGAGAUAGUUUACUCUAUUUUAUAUAAAAUACCACUCCGUCACUGAGAGCAAAUUGGAGUGCUCAAAGCAGGCUUUAUUAGCUUUGAACAUUUUAGCUUGGAAUGACAAGAUAUGACUUUUGUUUUAUUUUGUUGGUUAUGAAAUAAAAGUAAUGAUUAACAGGAACAGUUGCGGGGGUACUCGUAUUGAAAGGUCAGAGGUGAAAUUCUUGGAUUUUUUCAAGACGAACGACUGCGAAAGCAUUUACCAAGGAUGUUUUCAUUAAUCAAGAACGAAAGCUCGGGGAUCGAAGAUGAUUAGAUACCAUCGUAGUCCGACGCCAUAAACGAUGCCGACUCGGGAUUAUUUUGUUUGUUUAAAAUAAAAAAGAACACAAAGUAGCACCGUAUGAGAAAUCAAAGUCUUUGGGUUCCGGGGGGAGUAUGGUCGCAAGGCUGAAACUUAAAGGAAUUGACGGAAGGGCACACCAGAGGUGGAGCCUGCGGUUUAAUUUGACCCAACACGGGGAAACUUACCAGGUCCAGACAUGAUGAGGAUUGACAGUUUGAAAGCACUUUCUUGAUUUCAUGGGUGGUGGUGCAUGGCCGUUCUUAGUUGGUGGAGUGAUUUGUCUGGUUGAUUCCGAUAACGAACGAGACGGGGUGAAUUUACUAGUUUGUUAUAUAAUUUACGUUAUAUAAGACUUCUUUAUUCGACAACUUGGUUUUACCAAGAGGAAGCGCCCCGCAAUAACAGGUCUGUGAUGCCCUUAGAUGUUCUGGGCUACACGCGCGCUACAAUGACGAAUUCAACGAGUUUAAAAUUUAUUCCUUAUCCGGAAGGAUGUGGGUAAUCUUUUCAAUAUUCGUCGUGAUGGGGCUAGAUUUUUGCAAUUAUUAAUCUUCAACGAGGAAUCUCUAGUAUGUGCAAGUCAUCAGCUUGCGCAGAAUGCGUCCCUGCCCUUUGUACACACCGCCCGUCGCACCUACCGAUUGGACGAUCCGGCAAGAUGUUUGGAGUUGUUUUGAUUGUAGAGUAAUUUAUGAUGAAAAUGACAAAGCUCUUCAAACCUUAUCGUCUAGAGGAAGGUGAAGUCGUAACAAGGUCUCCGUAGGUGAACCUGCGGAGG
Molecule: ribosomal RNA, 1354 nt
Filed under: metagenome
Description: SSU rRNA
Rfam family: Eukaryotic small subunit ribosomal RNA
Source: RNAcentral